CCUGGUGGCCUUUGCGUCAUGAAAAAACCCGAUCCCAUCCCGAACUCGGCCGUUAAGCGUGACAGCGCCGAUGGUACUAAAGCUCAAGCUUUGGGAGAGUAGGUCGUUGCCAGGC
RNAcentral lists this ribosomal RNA (115 nucleotides) under Methylobacterium sp. RNAcentral also lists the same sequence under 3 other names. Lineage: Bacteria; Pseudomonadati; Pseudomonadota; Alphaproteobacteria; Hyphomicrobiales; Methylobacteriaceae. The record is from RNAcentral.